RNAcentral lists this ribosomal RNA (463 nucleotides) under uncultured bacterium. Its description in RNAcentral is "bacterial SSU rRNA". It matches the Rfam family "Bacterial small subunit ribosomal RNA", at positions 331 to 792 of the family's 1533-position model. The record is from RNAcentral.
CCAGACUCCUACGGGAGGCAGCAGUGAGGAAUAUUGGUCAAUGGCCGAGAGGCUGAACCAGCCAAGUCGCGUGAGGGAAGACGGCCCUACGGGUUGUAAACCUCUUUUGUCGGGGAGCAAAGAGAGUCACGUGUGACUCAUUGAGAGUACCCGAAGAAAAAGCAUCGGCUAACUCCGUGCCAGCAGCCGCGGUAAUACGGAGGAUGCGAGCGUUAUCCGGAUUUAUUGGGUUUAAAGGGUGCGCAGGCGGAGGUGCAAGUCAGCGGUCAAAUUGCGGGACUCAACCCCGUACUGCCGUUGAAACUGGCGUUCUUGAGUGGGCGAGAAGUAUACGGAAUGCGUGGUGUAGCGGUGAAAUGCAUAGAUAUCACGCAGAACUCCGAUUGCGAAGGCAGCAUACCGGCGCCCAACUGACGCUGAAGCGCGAAAGCGUGGGUAUCGAACAGGAUUAGAUACCCCAGUA